This 72-nucleotide transfer RNA is filed under the name Giardia muris. It matches the Rfam family "tRNA". Rfam says of the family: Transfer RNA (tRNA) molecules are approximately 80 nucleotides in length. Their secondary structure includes four short double-helical elements and three loops (D, anti-codon, and T loops). The record is from Rfam by way of RNAcentral. Lineage: Eukaryota; Fornicata; Diplomonadida; Hexamitidae.
GGGCGGUUAGCUCAGUGGUAGAGCGCCUCAUUUGCAAUGAGGAGGCCGGGGGUUCAAACCCCCCAUCGUCCA